UUCCUUUCCAAUCCAGCAAGCAAGACGAAGAGCGAAGAUUUGAAUUGGAAAUCGAACUAUUUCACUGUAAAGAAAACCAUCGACGUCCAUAAAGAUUCAGAAAUUGGAGACAGUGGAGGAACUACUCGACCUUGACGAGUUGAUAAAAACUUAACCAAGCAAGAAAGAUUUGCUGACAGCCAGGCUCUCAAAGAUUGGUGGAUAUGACUUAAAGAGCUGUUUAAGCACCAUCAUGGACAGGCUCAUGACAAAUGAAUUAAUGUCUAAUCUGAACAUGAAGGGGAGAGGGGGAAAAAAAUAGCUUUGCCGAGACGAAGCUGCUCGAUGUAGUUACAGCUAGUGUCUUGGAUACCCAGAAGGGGACCGAAACGAUGGUCCAUGAUGCCAUAAAAAAUAUAUACUGAAAUAUGCCCCUGGACAGAAGGGAGGAAUAGGAUGGGCAUCACAGGCUAAAUAAAUUAUAUCGAUUGAC
Long non-coding RNA from Nerophis ophidion (straightnose pipefish), 472 nucleotides. RefSeq lists it as uncharacterized. The record is from RefSeq and is a predicted model, not a curated record. Lineage: Eukaryota; Metazoa; Chordata; Actinopteri; Syngnathiformes; Syngnathidae. The transcript has 5 exons.